Molecule: ribosomal RNA, 810 nt
Filed under: Clostridioides difficile
Lineage: Bacteria; Bacillati; Bacillota; Clostridia; Peptostreptococcales; Peptostreptococcaceae
Description: partial 23S ribosomal RNA
Rfam family: Bacterial large subunit ribosomal RNA
Source: RNAcentral
CCCCAGUAAACGGCGGCCGUAACUAUAACGGUCCUAAGGUAGCGAAAUUCCUUGUCGGGUAAGUUCCGACCCGCACGAAAGGCGUAACGAUUUGGGCACUGUCUCAACAACAGACUCGGUGAAAUUGUAAUUCCGGUGAAGAUGCCGGAUACCUGCGACAGGACGGAAAGACCCCAUGGAGCUUUACUGUAGCUUGACAUUGGGUCUUGGUACUACAUGUACAGGAUAGGUGGGAGGCUUUGAAACCAGGACGCCAGUUUUGGCGGAGCCAUCCUUGGGAUACCACCCUUGUAGUACUGGGACUCUAACCAUAGGCCAUGAAUCUGGUCUUGGGACACUGUCAGGUGGGCAGUUUGACUGGGGCGGUCGCCUCCCAAAAGGUAACGGAGGCGCUCAAAGGUUCUCUCAGUACGGUCGGAAAUCGUACGUAGAGUGUAAAGGCAAAAGAGAGCUUGAUUGCAAGACAUACAGGUCGAGCAAGGAUGAAAAUCGGACUUAGUGAUCCGGUGGUUCUGCGUGGAAGGGCCAUCGCUCAACGGAUAAAAGCUACCCUGGGGAUAACAGGCUUAUCUCCCCCAAGAGUCCACAUCGACGGGGAGGUUUGGCACCUCGAUGUCGGCUCAUCACAUCCUGGGGCUGUAGUAGGUCCCAAGGGUUGGGCUGUUCGCCCAUUAAAGUGGUACGCGAGCUGGGUUCAGAACGUCGUGAGACAGUUCGGUCCCUAUCCGUCGCAGGCGUAGGAAAUUUGAGAAGACCUGUCCUUAGUACGAGAGGACCGGGAUGGACGUACCUCUGGUGUACCAGUUGUCC